UAGAACUUUGCCCAUUAUUCUUUGAUGACGUGGCAAAAGGUGUACCAUUGGAUGAUUUGUAGGUCGGCGCUGACGUGGCUUCAUAUUGUCCGUCCGAUCCAGCAGCUGAAGAGAAAUAAUAGGAGCUGUAUGAUCGCGAGGUGAGAUAUGGGCCAUCCAUCCCGGGUCUUUUGAAGCUUCUUUCUUCUUCCUUGAUGAACCCUAGAUCAGCUCACCUCCUUCCUUCGCUCUUGAUCCUAUUCGUCGGUCCUCUAUGUUGAGGAUUGGCUUGAGCCGCGAGCAAAAUGCUCUCCCUCGCCUUGACAUGCUACGGCGAGGUAAGUCGUUGGCUUUCCUCCUAUAUGGCAAGCUGAUGAAUCCGACUGAGUGACGGCACGGGGUCCAUCGCCAAGAUUUGAGACCGAAAUGAAAGGUUGAAUCCAGCCCUUCAAGCUUUUCUUCGGCCGCUUCUAGCUCAUUCCAGAGCGCCGAGAGCUUGUUGAAGCAUGCCGUGAUAGACAUGUUUCCUUGCUUCAGUUCGGAUAUUGCUUGAGUAAUUGAAAAUAGCUUCGCCCGAUCCAAUUUUCUGUACAUUUCUUUUAUGUUUUCCCACAUAAUAUUUGAGUCCUCUGUUGGAGGAAGGCCGGCCGCGACAUCUGGGGAUAUGCAAUUUCCGAUCCACGUUCAGACAAGCUGAUUGGAUUUUUUCCAAUGUCGGGCCAGUCAUUCAUCGGUCGGAACAGGGACGGUUUUGUCAAGAAAACAGUCUUUGUCCUUUGUGAUAAGGGCUCGCUGGAAUUCCUGUGACCACGUCGAAUAAUUUUCUAAGCCGGAAAGUUGAUGGGUAAUGAGUUGUAUUUCUGGUCCGUCGACGGUGGAAGUGUACAGUGGGUUGCCGAUGGCGGCUUGGAAUGGAAACAGCAUGAAACCGGGUGGAGGAAUUGGGUAGGGAUUCAUACCCAUACCCGAGAUCCCUGGUUCUAAUGCUUGACCCGCAUGUUGUAUUUCGGGCUAGGUGUUGGAUUUGCUCCAACGUCGACUGGUGGGCUUCCUUGGUUAUGUUCUCCUUGGCCUUGAAUGACUGGACUUUGGAAAUUGAACCAUGGAUUUGGCCCAUACCAGAAUGGAUGGAAUGAACCCUGCAUAGGUAGCCACUGGGUGGGCUAGCGCGAAAUGGGCUGACCUUGGUUGGGUUGGGCCUGGACAGGUUGCCCUUGAGUGGGUUGAAUAGGUUCUUGACUCGGAAUCACUUCAAGAACAUUCUCCAUGUUGUCCUGAUUGUCUUCUGGAGUUCGAUUUUCCUCAGAUCUUGAGGAGUUGUUCAUGGUAUCGGUAAGAAAAUGUUGUUUUUCUUCUUUGAAUUUUGCUCAAAAACUGAUUCCUACACCGGAGUGCUAACCUUGUUUUGCAUAUUAGUGUUUUUCUGCAACGAGGAUAGGAAGGAACGGGAGGCAAUCAAAAGAAGGGUUUGCGGAAGCUAUACUAGAAUCAAGAAGCUACACUGGAAGCUCUGAUACCAUGAUACAAAUCGAAGAAUUGAAGAAGAAAAUUUGUAUUCUAUGUAUUUCAACUUAUCUAUUCUUCAAUAUAUAGUACAAAAUAUGAAUAAUAAAAGGAAAAUCUCUCCUAGGCAUAUCAAAUGAAAUCAAGUCUAAUCCUAGAUUGAUUCAUCAAUCAAUUACAAUUUCGGAUUGAUUUAUCGUA
Molecule: long non-coding RNA, 1683 nt
Organism: Syzygium oleosum
Lineage: Eukaryota; Viridiplantae; Streptophyta; Magnoliopsida; Myrtales; Myrtaceae
Exons: 2
Source: RefSeq, a predicted model, not a curated record